This 440-nucleotide ribosomal RNA is filed under the name uncultured bacterium. RNAcentral describes it as "bacterial SSU rRNA". It matches the Rfam family "Bacterial small subunit ribosomal RNA", at positions 331 to 788 of the family's 1533-position model. The record is from RNAcentral.
CCAGACUCCUACGGGAGGCAGCAGUGGGGAAUAUUGCACAAUGGGGGGAACCCUGAUGCAGCAAUGACGCGUGGGUGAAGAAGCACUCCGGUGCGUAAAGCCCUGUCAGCAGGGAAGAAAAUGACAGUACCUGACCAAGAAGCCCCGGCUAACUACGUGCCAGCAGCCGCGGUAAUACGUAGGGGGCAAGCGUUAUCCGGAUUUACUGGGUGUAAAGGGAGCGUAGACGGCAUGGCAAGUCUGAAGUGGAAGCCCGGGGCUCAACCGCGGGACUGCUUUGGAAACUGUUAAGCUGGAGUGCAGGAGAGGUAAGUGGAAUUCCUAGUGUAGCGGUGAAAUGCGUAGAUAUUAGGAGGAACACCAGUGGCGAAGGCGGCUUACUGGACUGUAACUGACGUUGAGGCUCGAAAGCGUGGGGAGCAACCAGGAUUAGAUACCCC